RNAcentral lists this ribosomal RNA (253 nucleotides) under uncultured bacterium. RNAcentral's name for it is "partial 16S ribosomal RNA". It matches the Rfam family "Bacterial small subunit ribosomal RNA", at positions 524 to 776 of the family's 1533-position model. The record is from RNAcentral.
UACAGAGGUCCCAAGCGUUGUUCGGAUUCAUUGGGCGUAAAGGGUGCGUAGGCGGCGCGGUAAGUCGGGUGUGAAAUCUCGGGGCUUAACUCCGAAACUGCAUUCGAUACUGCCGUGCUUGAGGACUGGAGAGGAGACUGGAAUUUACGGUGUAGCGGUGAAAUGCGUAGAUAUCGUAAGGAGGACCAGUGGCGAAGGCGGGUCUCUGGACAGUUCCUGACGCUGAGGCACGAAGGCCAGGGGAGCAAACGGG